This 451-nucleotide ribosomal RNA is filed under the name uncultured bacterium. Its description in RNAcentral is "bacterial SSU rRNA". It matches the Rfam family "Bacterial small subunit ribosomal RNA", at positions 354 to 796 of the family's 1533-position model. The record is from RNAcentral.
GUGGGGAAUAUUGGACAAUGGGGGGAACCCUGAUCCAGCCAUGCCGCGUGUGUGAAGAAGGCCUUUUGGUUGUAAAGCACUUUAAGCGAGGAGGAGGCUACCGAGAUUAAUACUCUUGGAUAGUGGACGUUACUCGCAGAAUAAGCACCGGCUAACUCUGUGCCAGCAGCCGCGGUAAUACAGAGGGUGCAAGCGUUAAUCGGAUUUACUGGGCGUAAAGUGCGCGUAGGUGGCCAAUUAAGUCAAAUGUGAAAUCCCCGAGCUUAACUUGGGAAUUGCAUUCGAUACUGGUUGGCUAGAGUAUGGGAGAGGAUGGUAGAAUUCCAGGUGUAGCGGUGAAAUGCGUAGAGAUCUGGAGGAAUACCGAUGGCGAAGGCAGCCAUCUGGCCUAAUACUGACACUGAGGUGCGAAAGCAUGGGGAGCAAACAGGAUUAGAAACCCUAGUAGUCC